Long non-coding RNA from Cyprinodon tularosa, 365 nucleotides. RefSeq lists it as uncharacterized. The transcript is spliced from 3 exons. The record is from RefSeq and is a predicted model, not a curated record. Lineage: Eukaryota; Metazoa; Chordata; Actinopteri; Cyprinodontiformes; Cyprinodontidae.
GUGUGUGGCUGGGAGAGAAACGAGAUCAGGGAAGGACGGCUAGCAGAACUGGAAGAGAAAAUGUUGCUGUUGGCAAAAGAUUGCUUUAUUGUUCUACUGUUGGGCUUCAGCCCUUUAACUCUGAAAACUCUAUAUCAGAUAAAGGGUUAUCCAUCCGCAUUUCUUUAACUGCUGCAAUACUGUGCUCCAAGGCAAACUUAUUUGCUCAAGUUACAGCCCAGCUACACACUGAUCCACAGGAUGGGUGCUCCAUUUUACCUCCGGCUGUGUACGUUAAACAAAGCACUACACAGAAGAAGGCACCAGGUGUGGGAACGGCAAACCGGCACAUGUUCAAAAGUUUCAUUUGCUUUGUUGGGUGUGUC